UAGAGAAUAGUAUAGGUGGUAAUACAAGAAAUUUUGGAUUUUUUAUGGUGGUUCGAAUCCUCAUUCUCUAA
Molecule: transfer RNA, 71 nt
Filed under: Phrynocephalus vindumi
Lineage: Eukaryota; Metazoa; Chordata; Lepidosauria; Squamata; Agamidae
Description: Phrynocephalus ornatus vindumi tRNA-Gln
Rfam family: tRNA
About the family: Transfer RNA (tRNA) molecules are approximately 80 nucleotides in length.
Source: RNAcentral